RNAcentral lists this unclassified non-coding RNA (258 nucleotides) under Plectania rhytidia. RNAcentral describes it as "partial contains 5.8S ribosomal RNA, internal transcribed spacer 2, and large subunit ribosomal RNA". Lineage: Eukaryota; Fungi; Ascomycota; Pezizomycetes; Pezizales; Sarcosomataceae. The record is from RNAcentral.
CGCACAUUGCGCCUUCUGGUAUUCCGGGAGGCAUGCCUGUUCGAGCGUCAUCAAACACAUCCUCAAGCACUUUUGCUUGGUAUUGGAGGAAGAUGUCCGCAUCUCCUCUCAAAUCCCUCAGCGGAAACUACUGCAGUCUCAGGUGUCAUAAGAUUACCUUUUACUUGAUAACUGCCGGUAGGUUCUUGCUGUGAAGAGCCCCCCAGCGAUUCUUUUAAGUUUGACCUCGAAUCAGGUAGGGAUACCCGCUGAACUUAA